GUGAUAUGAAGAUUCACAAUGUAGGAACACGAGAAACCAAUGGAGCUGAGAGCCAUUGGAAGGUUUCUAUAUAAGUACUCCUAAGCUGAAGCCGAAGAAUAUAAUAAUUUUCAAAGACUGGGAACCACCCGACCCGCUCAUUACCAUGUACUUCUCAAUCAGAUUGGCUUCUCUGCAUAUUAGUUACAUCCUAUGUUGGAUACGGGGUCAGGGCCAGACAGGUGGAGGUGCUAUUUAGAAGGCUCGGGCGAGUUUACUGUUUGCAACCUUCAUUACAAGCUACAAAGGUCUGGUGCAUUCAGUAGUGGGUUAUGUUUCUGCCAGAACAAUUGGUCUCUUUUGAAAGUGAUUUUUUUAGCGUGGAGGGUUGCUUUAAAUGGGUUACCCACGUUGACAGCCUUACAGCAGAGAGGAAUUGGUUUGGGCUCGGUCCGAUAGCCUAAUAUAUUAAUUUCCAGGGUCUCUAAAUAUAUGUAAUAAUUUCUUUUUCGGGUUGUCUCAAAAUAAAUGCACUGUAUGGUAUAUUUUCUUUA
Long non-coding RNA from Helianthus annuus (common sunflower), 533 nucleotides. RefSeq lists it as uncharacterized. The transcript has 4 exons. NCBI's taxonomy places the organism in Eukaryota, Viridiplantae, Streptophyta, Magnoliopsida, Asterales, Asteraceae. The record is from RefSeq and is a predicted model, not a curated record.